This 216-nucleotide ribosomal RNA is filed under the name Glomeromycotina sp. RNAcentral describes it as "partial small subunit ribosomal RNA". The stretch from base 40 to 216 matches the Rfam family "Eukaryotic small subunit ribosomal RNA", at positions 686 to 864 of the family's 1831-position model. Lineage: Eukaryota; Fungi; Glomeromycota. The record is from RNAcentral.
GGGUCAGUAGGUUGGUCGUGCCACCGGUACGUACUGGUCUCACUGAUUCCUCCUUCCUGAAGAACCGUAAUGCCAUUAAUUUGGUGUUGCGGGGAAACAGGACUGUUACUUUGAAAAAAUUAGAGUGUUUAAAGCAAGCUAACGCUUGAAUAUAUUAGCAUGGAAUAAUGAAAUAGGACGAUCGAUCCUAUUUUGUUGGUUUCUGGGAUUGACGUA